This is a non-coding RNA of Drosophila melanogaster (fruit fly), 618 nucleotides long. The record is from Ensembl. Lineage: Eukaryota; Metazoa; Arthropoda; Insecta; Diptera; Drosophilidae.
GAAUAGAGAGUUGGGAAACGACAUAAACGACAUAUACGUGACAGAAUUGCAACACAAAAGGCGCCGGAACGGGCGAGCACUGACAGCCAACCGUCAAAAACUUCACAACUGCCAGUACAGUACAAUGGCUCGGAAAUCGGAUUAAUGCAGCUGCUGCUCAUGCUGCUCUUGCUGCUACUACCGACGCUCCUGGUGAAAAGCGGGGAAACCCAAUCCGCAAUCCAUAGAGCUGCUUCUCCGCUAAAUACAAUGAAAAACUUCCAACGAAAGACACACAUUCGCACGGACUCGCCUCUCGCAUGGCAGGGCCAAUAAACAAAAGGACAAAAGCGACGCGUCGCGCCGCCCCAGAGCCAAUCAAUCGCUAUGGCACCCUAGGGGCUCAGAACCCCAUCGAAAAGGGGUAUGAAAGGGGCUAGGGGGCGUAGGGAGCGAGGCGAUUGAACGCAAUCUGACACGCGACCAGUUCAAUGCACGUUGCCCCUCGCAUAGGUCAAAACCCAAAGGCAAGAGCAAAGUAAUAGAUUUUUUUGUACAAGAACGGAAAAAUGAAACACGUGAAGGAAAAACCAGUUCCGAAAUCCAUACUUUUGAAAUUUUGAACUUAAUUUGUUUUUU